UGCAGAGACAAGCUCUCCAGCAUGGGACGUUGUGUUCCUCGGGCUGCAGUCAAUCAAUCAUCACUCUGCCACAAAGGUUAAGGCCAAAAAGUAAGUGCACAAAAGAGCAGUUUGGAUUCUGAAACCUUGGCAAUGAGUCUCCCUUCCUUCUUCAGAGCCGCCGUGCUUCUGGGAACACAAAGACCCAAGUCAGUUUUCUGGGCAUCACUUCAAAAACAUAAAGGAUGGUGGCAAAUGUAGGAUCUGGGUUCCAGAGAGACAGGCCAAAGGUCCCCAAGCAUCCAUCAUCCUGAAGGACUUCAGGGUACACUUG
This is a long non-coding RNA of Peromyscus leucopus (white-footed mouse), 313 nucleotides long. RefSeq lists it as uncharacterized. The transcript has 2 exons. Lineage: Eukaryota; Metazoa; Chordata; Mammalia; Rodentia; Cricetidae. The record is from RefSeq and is a predicted model, not a curated record.